AGACCCAGGGUUUGGACAAUCCAAGGGAGAGGUGGAAGGAGAUAUCUGCAAAAAUAAUGAGGCUGUAGAAAAGUGUGCUCACUGUGGAACGGAAACAUUCAUUCACAAUUAACUGAGCAGCUAUUAUAGAGGAAGGGCUACAAUGUGCCUUCCUGUAGAAUUCCAAAUAUUUUGAAAGAUAAUAUAACAAACACUAAUGUUUGGAAUUGGGAAAAUAUCAGAGCCAGCAGAAAGGAUGAUUAACACUCAUAAGAAUGGUACAGACAUUGCUGACACAGUUUUCAGAUACCUGCAUUCUCCGUUGGUCUCAAGAUAAUUGCUGGGAGCUGCUAAAACCAACUAAGACUCGAGGGAAAUCCCCACUACUCUAUAGCAGAAAUGCCCUGGAUUAAGGAAAGAAACUAAGCAAGAAGGUUGACAUCAUAUACAAGAAUGAGAGAGGAGCUAAGAGUUGGACUUGGCUCUAUUUCCUACCAGCUGGGAAAUUGCUGAAUUUUUUAUUUUUGUGCUUGCACCUGC
This is a long non-coding RNA of Pongo pygmaeus (Bornean orangutan), 519 nucleotides long. RefSeq lists it as uncharacterized. NCBI's taxonomy places the organism in Eukaryota, Metazoa, Chordata, Mammalia, Primates, Hominidae. The transcript is spliced from 3 exons. The record is from RefSeq and is a predicted model, not a curated record.